RNAcentral lists this ribosomal RNA (1128 nucleotides) under Araeosoma ijimai. Its description in RNAcentral is "eukaryotic LSU rRNA". It matches the Rfam family "Eukaryotic large subunit ribosomal RNA", at positions 41 to 960 of the family's 3401-position model. The record is from RNAcentral. Lineage: Eukaryota; Metazoa; Echinodermata; Echinoidea; Echinothurioida; Echinothuriidae.
UAUCACUAAGCGGANNNNNCUAACAAGGAGUCCCUCAGUAGCGGCGAGUGAAGAGGGAUGAGCCCAUCGCUGAAUCCCAGCCCCGGCGGGCAGUUGUGGCGUGAGGCGGCUUCUGGCCCGCGAUUCUUGCGACGCCGAGGUCCUCUUGAUCGGGGCAACCUUACCUGUAGCGGGUGUCAGGCCCAUUCGGNNNCCGGGUCUCGAGGGCCUGUAGCCGCCGUGAGUCGGGUAGUUUGGGAAUGCUGCCCAAAGAAAAGGGGUGGUGAACUCCAUCCAAGGCUUUUAAAACACUGGCAACGAGACCGAUAGCAGACAAGUACCGUGAGGAAAGUUGAAAAGAACUCUGAAGAGAGAGUUCAAGAGGACGUGAAACCGCUAAGAAGUAAACGGGCAGGACUCGCGGCACGGGCCCGAGAAGAUUCAGCGCGCUGGUCGUGGCCACAGCGCCCGCUCUGUGGGGCCGAUCGCGGGCCACGGUCGGAGCGUGCACUUCUCCCGGGCGCGGCGCUCGGGACCAGCAUGCCUCUUCGUCGGCCGACCGCUUCCGCGCAGGUACCUCUCACCACUCGUGGGCGUGGAGAACUAAUGGCGUGGUGCUCGCAACGCCAGACCGAGCUGCUGAGGAGAGGAGCGAGUCGCGCCUGCCUCAUCUCGASSUGCGCCCGUCCGCCUUCCGCAGACCUCCCCGUGGCACGCAGUAGCCUCGAGGGCAAGCGGCCAGAGUGUUCGGGUCGACGUGGUGCUUCGGUCGCCGAGCGAAGCUGGGCGCCUGCUCGACCCGUCUUGAAACACGGACCAAGGAGUCUAACGGACCCGCAAGUCAAGGGGAGCGAUCCAAACCCCACGGCGCAAUGAAGGUAUAGGUUGACCAGGUCGGCCGACGUGGGAUUCCACCCGGAGAAACACAGAAGGGGGGGUCGCACCACGGCCCCGCCACGUCCGCUCCGCUUGGUGUGGCGGAGGCAGAGCGGGAACGCUAGGACCCGAAAGAUGGUGAACUAUGCCCGAGCAGGAUGAAGUCAGAGGAAACUCUGAUGGAGGUCCGCAGCGAUUCUGACGUGCAAAUCGAUCGUCCGACUCGGGUAUAGGGGCGAAAGACUAAUCGAACCAUCUAGUAGCUGGUUCCCU